GAGAGCUUACAAUAUCUUCUGCACUUAAGCAGGUUCUUGUUCCCUUAGCCCUCUGCCUUAUUUUCG
Molecule: small RNA, 66 nt
Filed under: Archaeoglobus fulgidus
Lineage: Archaea; Methanobacteriati; Methanobacteriota; Archaeoglobi; Archaeoglobales; Archaeoglobaceae
Source: RNAcentral